CAGCCGCCACGGUAAUACGUAGGUCCCGAGCGUUGUCCGGAUUUAUUGGGCGUAAAGCGAGCGCAGGCGGUUAGAUAAGUCUGAGGUUAAAGGCUGUGGCUUAACCAUAGUACGCUUUGGAAACUGUUUAACUUGAGUGCAAGAGGGGAGAGUGGAAUUCCAUGUGUAGCGGUGAAAUGCGUAGAUAUAUGGAGGAACACCGGUGGCGAAAGCGGCUCUCUGGCUUGUAACUGACGCUGAGGCUCGAAAGCGUGGGGCGCAAACAGGAUUAGAUACCCGCGUAGUCCCUGUCUCUUAUACA
RNAcentral lists this ribosomal RNA (301 nucleotides) under uncultured bacterium. RNAcentral describes it as "partial 16S ribosomal RNA". It matches the Rfam family "Bacterial small subunit ribosomal RNA", at positions 509 to 808 of the family's 1533-position model. The record is from RNAcentral.